RNAcentral lists this long non-coding RNA (320 nucleotides) under Manihot esculenta (cassava). Its description in RNAcentral is "long non-coding RNA (MESC_LNC012789)". The record is from RNAcentral. Lineage: Eukaryota; Viridiplantae; Streptophyta; Magnoliopsida; Malpighiales; Euphorbiaceae.
GGUUAUACAAAACCUGAGCGUGAUCGCCUGGUAAGAACCGUUGUUCAAACAUUUGCUUCAUCAAUAUCCAGUUUCGUAUGGGCUUCAGCCUCCUUCGAUAGCGUUCGUUUUGAAUCGAAUUCCACCAGGCUGCUGCACCCCCUUUUAACUUAUAGGCCACAAUUGGAACUUUGCGCUCCUCUUCCACGUUCAUAACUUCAAAGAAAUGUUCAACCUCUGCUAGCCAAUCAAGAACAGAUUCCACAUCUAACGAACUAGAAAAGUUUUGAAGGUCUAUCUUGAUCUUGUAACCUUCCUGAUAAUUCUGUUGGGGAUUUGCA